UUUUUUUUUUUUUUUUAAGAUUUUAUUUACUUAUUCAUGAGUGAGAGACACACACACAGAGAGGCAGAGACACAGGCAGAGGGACAAGCAGGCUCCACACAGAGAGCCUAAUGCGGGCCUUGAUCCCAGGACUCCAGGAUUAUGUCCUGAGCCAAAAGCAGAUGCUCAACCAAAGCCAACCAAGCAUCCCACUCUAUGAAAUUCUUAGCAUUGUGGCAGGCACAUACUAAUAGCUCAACCCUUACUAGCUAUUGUCAUUGUUAUUAAUCUUAGACUUUGAUGCAUAGUCUUCCCUUCCUUCCCCAAUUCUGCCAUCAUUCUAAGUGGCUUUAUUGUGAAAUGGACAAUUUAUCCAGUCACACGUUAGCCUUCGAGACUUGGGUUGAACCAUUUGAUAGCCUUCCUGUCCUUUGUAUAUUAGCCAUACAUGCACAUGGCCUCACCUUGGAAUUCCUGCAUUUUGUAAACAUUGAGUUCUAGCGUCUCUCUACCCCAAGCUGAUGGGAGGAUGAAGGGUGGGGCAUGAUCUUCCCACAGUACCAAUCUCAUUAUGUCAUCAACUAAUUAAAAACCUUUCAACAGCUCUCUUUAUCAAAUUCAGAGCCUUUAGUUUGUCAUAAAUUAACAAUCUUGUCUUAAUUUAUGUCUCCCUUCUGCUGUAUAUUCUACAUCCUCUAAUCUUAAAACUCUCAAUUCCAAUGGUACUUUAUCCUUUUUCUCUGUCUAGCUUUGGGUUUUUGCAAACACUGGCGCUUAGGCUGGGGAGAGGAAAGAGGGCUUUCCCUCCCUCUAGGCCAGAUUUUCGUUAAUCUUUCAAUUUCAUAAAGUACUCCACAGCCUGCCUUUCUAAAACCCUUCUCUGACUCCCAUCUCUCUACCCUUCGUUUUACCUCAAAGUGAGCAUCCCUCCUGUAACCCAGUGCAUUGGCAUAUUGUAGCUCUUACCUUACUGAAUUGUGAUUGUGCCCUGAUAGUUUAUUUAUUAGUCCUUUUUACAAAAAUAAAUUACUCAAGGACAAGAUCAGGUCUGAUUGGAUUUUGUUCUUACAUUUCUAGUGCCUACUGAUUGCUGGAGCACAAGAGGGACGCAAUAAUUAUUCAUUGAGUCAAUGCAAAAAUCUAGUCUAUUCUAGCACAGAACUUGAUGACAAUCUUUCACAAAAUUUUACAAAGUAUGGCUGCCUCCAGUGAUAAAUCUAUAUCCCAUCUCCUCAGGGGAAUAAGCAACUCCUACCUGAAGACCAACAAGCUCCUUUGUCUUUUAAAUUUACAUUAGAUAGUAAGAGGUGGGGCAUAUACAUAAAUCUCCAAAGAGAGUUUGAGAAUUAUUAAUUUACCCUAUCACUUCUAUAGCAUUUGCUUUCUUCUGCUUCUUUACAUCUACCAAGGUGAGUGAAAUUAGAUUUUUCAAAUAUUACUGAGAUAUUUUUUCCAAUUGCUUUGCAUUUCAAAUAUUAACAAAAAGUACUGAAUUUAUUUCUUUCCAGUAAAGAAAAAAAGGAGAGAGGGAAAUAGUUUGGUUUCUUGACUAUUUAAUUUGAUAUUAAAUCAAAUGAAUUUUAAAAAUAUAUAUAAAAUUUAAAAAAAUUUUUCCUUGCAGUUUAUCCUUUAACUGUGAAUUAGAUAAUUUUCAAACAACUAUAUUUUGAAUGUGAAAGCUAAGUGAGCUUUCUGUAGACGUGUAUUCAAACCAAAAAUGUUUUCAAAAUAAUCUUAAUGGCUCUAUCUCGUACAAACUUGAAGUAGAGCAAAGUUAAAUUUUCCUUCUUAGAGAAGAACAGCUUUUAGUAGGAAUGGACUAAAGUAUUUUUUUUCCCAUGGAGAAAUUAUACGAGUUUUGACAAUUGAAAUAGAUUUCCUGUGAUUAGAAUACACACUUAAAAUUUUUUGAAAUUUCUUCAGGUUGCUUUGAUUAUCUUGUGCUAUGGGAUUUCUUAGUUUUUUGACAUUUGUGCAUGUAUAGGCAUAAACAUAAGCAAGCAUGUUUGAUUUAGAAACUUCUUUGCAAAGCAGCACGUAGAAGAGUUCAAUGGAGAGGGAUUAUUCUAAAAUAAGCUGUUGUCAGGCACAGUUGUCAAAAAGUCUUAGAAUUAUUCUUAGCUUACUAACUGUUCCCCAAAGGAGUCCUUUCUGGUUUUAUCUAAGGAAUGAGAUACUAAAUUAAUCCUUAAAUCAUUGACCCGCUAGAGUGUGUUAAGAUGGGCAGUAUGUUCAUCUUGAAUAUAAUUAUUUUUAAAGUUUAAUACACAUGUUUUAGAUCAAAUGAUUGUGAACACUUAGAAAAGUGACUUUGAUGGAAAUGUGCCCCAUGAGCAAGCAGUCCAAGUGUUUACUGCUUUCUGUCAUAGCAUUCUGGUUCUUUGUAUUUGCAUCUACUUCUAAAAAUGUGCUUAAUUGUCAUGAUCUAUUUGCAGUUCUCUUAAUGACUCAAGAGCCCACUUUCCUUUCCCUUUUCUGUCUCCAACCAAAGUCUUAUUGACUACAUUUACUCCCUUCCUUUGCUCAGGUUAGAUAAAAGUUAAACUCAGCUCCAUCCUUGCAAACAGACCAGUUCUUGUCACAAUUUCAACCUAAAUAUCUCACUAACCCUUAGGAGCAAGCAGAGCUUAUCAAAGAUUUCAGACUCCCACUUUAGCCUAUUUCUCCUAUUUUACUGUUUUGAUCAUAGCUUCUAGAAUAUUCCCUCAGUCUCACUUUGAUUACCUAGAAUUUAUAAAGAAUAAAACACACCAAUCUUAAGUUGAUGUUGGCCAAUCUAAACAGUUGUGUAGUUACCACCCAAAUUAUGAGAUAAAAUAUUUCCUUCACUCAAGAAAGUUUGGUCCCUUUGAAGUCAGUAUCCUGCUUCCAUCCCUGGAUCCUAUAGAUCUGCUUUCUGUCUCUAUCCAUUUAUAGAAUUUUAUUUAAAUGGGACCCUACAGAAUACAAUCUUCGGUGUAGAGCCUAGGGGAGUACUUUAGUGUUUGACUCCUUUCACUUAGCAUAAUGCUUUGGAGAUUCUUUUGCAUUGUUGCCUGAAUCUAUAGUUUAGUCCAAAUUAACAAAUCCAUUGAAUGGCUAGCCAUACUGUAAUUUACUUAUUCACUUACCUAUUGAAGGACAUUGGGGUUGUUUCUACGUUUUGAUUGUUGUGAGUAAAGCUGCUUUAGGGAUUUGCUGUACUGGUGUUAUGUGAACAUAGGAAUUUAUUUCACAUACAAAUAAAUACAAGAGUGAGACUACUAAAUUAAGUGGGGCUACUAAGUAGUAUGGUAAGUAUUUAAUUUUAUAAAAGAUGAUCAGACUUUUUCCAAAGUGGCUGGGCCAUUGUAUAUUCCCACCAGAACUAUAUGAGAGUUACAGUUGUUUUGCCAACUUUUUAUAUUGGAAGUCUUUUUAAUUUUAGCAUUUAGUUGGUAUAAUUUCUCAUGACUUUAAUUUUCAUGUCCCUUGUUAAAAAAACACUCGAGUAAAUUUGAAGAUAAAAUUAACUUUAUUCAAUAAUUAAUGAACUGAGCAAUAUCCUAUCUAGCAAAUAGAAAGUCACUCCAAAGAGAUGUACAAAAUAGAAGGCUUUUAUAGGCAGAAAGGGGACAAGACAAAGAGUGUGUUGUUUCAGGCAAAGUGAUCAUCCUUUGGGGAAAGGCAGAGUUUACAGGGCAGAUUACGUCACUAGUGCUGUCUCCAUAAUUCCAUAUUGACUGGUUAAAGAUUACUUUCCUGGGAGAGGUUGAAACUGCAAUUAUGUUAGGUACUAAAUCUCAGUUUGCUAACAUGGGGCUUAGCACAAGUGACUCUAUUUGGACCUGUUAUUUCUUUUUUUAACACCCUAAUGACUAAUAACCAUGAGCAUUUUUUAUGCAUUAAUUUACCUUCUACUUUUUGCCAUGUAUUUGGUUAGGUUUAUCUUCCUGUUUCUUUUACUUGGGGUUUGUUGAGCUUCAAUCUGUUGGUUUGUAGUUAUCAUGAUAAGUGAUAAAUAUUCAGCCAUUAUUUUUCAAGCAAUUUUUUCGUUUGAAUUCUCACCUCCUCUUUUGUGAGACUCUUCAUUAUGUGAUGUAUUUUAGGCCACAAUAUGGUGCUCUAUUCAUUUUUAAAAAAUAUUUCCGCUAAGUUUCAUUUUGGAUAUUUUUGAUUGCUUUGUCUUCAAUUUCUUAAUUCUUUUUUCUGUGAUGUAUUGUGGUGUCUUAUCUACUGUUAAUCUCAUAAAGUUUUUUCAUCUCAGAUGUUAUAUUUUUCACAUCCAGAAGAUUAAUUUGGAUCUUAUCAUUUCCAGUGAUCUUCAUCAAAUGCGUGCUUUUCUCUAAACUUCUUGAGCAUAUGAAGUACAUUUUUAGCAUUUUGUCUGCUGAUUCGAUUAGCUGUCUCCAUCUGUCUUAAUUUUUUUUUCCCUUGGCAUUGGGACAUGAUUUAGUGCUUGUUUAUACACCUGGCAAUCUGUGAUUAGAUGCCACACUGUGUUUUAUGUUUUGGAUCUUGGUUUUUGGUGUUACUUGAAUAUUUUUUUGGUUUCAGAUUUACCUGAAAUCCACUUGAUCC
This 4518-nucleotide long non-coding RNA is filed under the name Canis lupus familiaris (dog). RNAcentral describes it as "lncRNA (ENSCAFG00845024499.1)". Lineage: Eukaryota; Metazoa; Chordata; Mammalia; Carnivora; Canidae. The record is from RNAcentral.